Molecule: long non-coding RNA, 1207 nt
Organism: Olea europaea var. sylvestris
Lineage: Eukaryota; Viridiplantae; Streptophyta; Magnoliopsida; Lamiales; Oleaceae
Exons: 2
Source: RefSeq, a predicted model, not a curated record
UUCGAUUAGGGUUUCCCUUCCCUCAUUUUCUCUCUCACAUACACACACUGUCGCGCCGUUAGGUCUACAAAUUUCUGAAGAGGGAUCUCAUCUAUAAGAAGAGGCCAAAAAUACCAUUCCAAUCACUCUCCACAACUCAAUUACACAUCAACCAUUUUCACGAUAGAUCCGUAACUUUAAGAAACCCUAAAUUUUGGGGUGGACUCCCUUUAUUUUGGGAGGAAAAAAAAAUCGAGAAUUAAUGAAUGGUGGAAAUCUAACCCUUGAUUGUGCGCCGUCAAGCCCUUGCAUCCCGCAUUCACACUCUGAAAGGUUUUGCUAACAUAAUUAACGAAAAGGACCUGUACCAUCAAAAAGCUUGCUGACAUCGAUAAUUUAGUGGUGGAAAGACAUCUGCUCGGUGAUUCAUAACAUACUGGAAUAUUGAAGAUUUCACAGGGAGGAUAUCCAAGUACAGCAAUUGUUUGGUUCAAACAUGAAAAACUCUUAUUUGCAGGAGAGAAAAGAAAGUUACAAAAAGUGCUCCUUGGCUGUGAUGUGAUCACCUGCAUUCGACAUCCUCGAGUGUGAUUGAAGUCAUUGAUCAAGAGACUGUUGAACAUCAAAGAAGGCAGUUUCUAGGUUGCAAAUGUGUCAAUACUGUUGAGUGAGUUCUUAGAGUGUAGAAUGAUAUCAAUUGUUGGAACAUAAGUGUGGGUAAGACUACCUUGCCAAGAGAAUUUAUAGGAAUCUACCAACUAGAUUUGAUUGUUUUGCCUUAGUAGUCUUUCUCUUGUGAGCCACGAGUAAGGAAGCCUUUUUCUAGAAAUAGCAAAUGUGUAAGCCUGAGGAACAAUCGGAAAAAUUAUGCCGAACAAUCAAACCUAUUUCUUACACUCCUACAAAUACUCUUAGCAAGAGUAGUCUUACCCAUACUUCUAGUCCCAACAAAUGAUGUCAUCUUAUGCUGUGAGUUUUCCCCCAACAGUUCUACCUCUUGUUGCUAAGUUUUCUUCUAAGGUACUGCCUGCUUUGACAUUCAAUGGUAGUAAACUGUAAUUGCCCUAUAUACAGAGUUUAUUUUGCUGAUGUUAUCUUUUCUUUUUUGUCAAUGGAAACUUAUUUGAAUGUGUUUAGCAUUCUCCCUUUCAAAACAAUAACUUAUCGUUAUCGGGUAUCUUGUAAUUUGUAAUUACUCAUAUGUGUGUGAAGAUUUUUUUUUUUUUUC